GAUGAACGCUGGCGGCGUGCCUAAUACAUGCAAGUCGAGCGAACAGACGAGGAGCUUGCUCCUCUUACGUUAGCGGCGGACGGGUGAGUAACACGUGGAUAACCUACCUAUCAGACGGGGAUAACUUCGGGAAACCGGAGCUAAUACCGGCUAAUAUAUUUAACCGAAUGGUUCAAUAGUUAAAGACGGUUUUGCUGUCAAUUAUUGAUGGAUCCGCGCCGCAUUAGCUAGUGGGUAAGGUAACGGCUUACCAAGGGGACGAUGCUUAACCGACCUGAGAGGGUGACCGCCCAACCGGGACCUGGACAACGGCCAGACCUCUUCCGGAGGGAAGCAGUAGGGAUCCUUCGGCAAUGGGCGAAAGCCUGCCGGAGCACCGCGGCGGGAUGAAGGAAGGUCUUGGGAUGGUAAAACUUGGUUAUUAGGGAAGAAAAAAUGUGUACGUAACUAUGCCCGUAUUGACGGUACCUAAUCAGAAAGCCACGGCUAACUACGUG
This 497-nucleotide ribosomal RNA is filed under the name uncultured bacterium. RNAcentral describes it as "partial 16S ribosomal RNA". It matches the Rfam family "Bacterial small subunit ribosomal RNA", at positions 28 to 507 of the family's 1533-position model. The record is from RNAcentral.